Long non-coding RNA from Metopolophium dirhodum (rose-grain aphid), 1762 nucleotides. RefSeq lists it as uncharacterized. The transcript is spliced from 6 exons. The record is from RefSeq and is a predicted model, not a curated record. NCBI's taxonomy places the organism in Eukaryota, Metazoa, Arthropoda, Insecta, Hemiptera, Aphididae.
AGAAAUAAACUGGUCCGCGGUGACCCACGACUUCAAGGCUAAAUUCCAAUGGAAUUGUUCGUGUGUUUGUUUGUAAAUAAAUGGUGUGGCUUGGUAUCUAUGGUUUGGAAGGGGUGGUGUGAACCCUAUAGGAUCGAGGUUCGCCCGAUAUCAUGGUGGCCGAUAGUGGAAACUGGAAACCACUCUACAACAACAGACAGCAGUGCAUCGACGACGAUUCCACUUGACGCCGAUUCCACCCGGCAGGUGUCUACAGGUACAUUUACAGCCAGUUUUUAAAAGGCACGCAGAACUUACUGUAUCUCCGUCAUAAUGUGAUAACGCAUCGUUAAACGUAAUCUCAAUCACUGGAUGAGUAUUUUCAGUUUUUAACACGAAUUAAGAUAUAGGUAUAUCUUAAUUCGUGGUUUUUAACGACACAAUUAAUAAUACAAAUUCAAUCACACGAUAGCAGUCAAAAGAUAAGAAUCUGUCCAUUAAACGAUAUAAUUAAAGUUACGUUUAUAAUUAGCAGAAUCAGUUCCUCGAUAUCUAUACAACUAUGGAUUUGUAUGUUGAUAUUCUUACCAUUGUGUUUACAGAGGAGGUGACUUCUGUUUUAAAGAUGGUUUGAAUAUAAAACCAACCGACUGGUACCUACAUCUAAAAACCAAAGAUUUCGAUCAUCAAUCCAUGGUCAGCCGUCUUGAAAAUCGUAGAAAUGGUAUAGAAUAUAGUAUUGAAAUUGGAAGCCCGGACCAUGGACAACUGAUCGAUUUUCAAAUUUCCGAAGACUUAUUUUCAGUAUGGCUUGCUGAAAUUAUUUCUGAAGCUUCCUUCAUUAUGAGCCAUGAAAAAUGUCGAAUGUAUAUACAAUAUAAAUAUCAGUAAAAAAAUAUUCUUAAUAUGCAUAAAUUAAACAACAAUGCGCCAUAGACUUAACGAAAGUGACACUAGACAAGACAUAUGAGUUAUGGAGAAUGAAGUUCUGUAUAUCAUACCCAAUCCUAGAAGGCUCAGCGUUGAAUUUGUCAGAUACGAGCACUCUUCAGAUGACUUCAAAACGAUGGCAAUUAUGUACUGGACAAUUUUUGUAGGCCACGAUCUAUCUCACACGGCAAUCUCUAUCAUGAGAGGGAUUAACACAUAAUAAUCUCUGGAAUCAAGUACCAGGUUGGACGCUAGUCUGUUGUGUCAUCGGUAUGGAGUGGCACAUGCUUGGGCAAUAGUCUACAGUAAAAGCUUAUAAAUUCAAUAUAUUAAUUCCUAGAAAAUAUUUUUUUUUAAACCCAGAUUUUGAAGAUAGAAAAAAAUUGAGUCAUCAUCACAUCACAUUGAGUACACAUUUCAGAAACAUCCUGUAUACGGAAAACCGAGUGAUCAACACAAGUAUUUCGCUAAAGGAACAUUACUACCGACCUACAGCUUACAAAUUAAUUAUACAGUGUUCAUCCAAACCACGCGUUUGAAACGGACAUUGUCAGCUUGGAUAUACAACGAAGCUGCGAUCAUGGUAUACCAAGAUACUGAAAUGGCUGAAUUGCAACUCCGUAAUUCCCAAUCAAUUCCUAAAAUCAACAUCGAUCACUAGUCAGAAUUGGUCGAUACAUUUCAAAAAUAACCUCAUAUAAAUCAUUGAUGUAUUUAUUUAUAAUGUAUUAUCGUUGAAAAACAAUAGUAACGGUUUUUUAAAUUUAAUAAUCAAUAAUAUCAGCCUUUAAUCCAACCUUUUUCAUUUUACCUAUGUAGUGUCAUGUUUUUAUAAAAUAUUUUUAAAAUUAAU